GUGGUUGAAGCUGAGAUCAGCACCUGAUUGUUAAACAGGAGGAAGCCAUCGGGCCAACCACG
RNAcentral lists this transfer RNA (62 nucleotides) under Leucophytia bidentata (two-toothed white snail). Its description in RNAcentral is "Auriculinella bidentata (two-toothed white snail) tRNA-Asn". The record is from RNAcentral. Lineage: Eukaryota; Metazoa; Mollusca; Gastropoda; Ellobiida; Ellobiidae.